This is a long non-coding RNA of Acipenser ruthenus (sterlet), 1049 nucleotides long. RefSeq lists it as uncharacterized. The transcript has 3 exons. The record is from RefSeq and is a predicted model, not a curated record. NCBI's taxonomy places the organism in Eukaryota, Metazoa, Chordata, Actinopteri, Acipenseriformes, Acipenseridae.
UUCAUUUCCAGAUUACAGCAUCUGUGCUCGUGGUAAGUGUGAAUCUGAUAUUUUAAUAAAAAUGUGACUGUACACUACAAUACAAUACACAUGUACUGUGCGCUUCACAAGAAAUGAAUACAUGUUAACAAUGGGGCCUCCUGCAGCUGAUGUUGAGAAUAUGGAAUGGGGUAUUAUUGUAUAAUAGUAUGAAUGAGCUGCUCUUAAUAAGAAAUGACAUCUUCAUUUAAUACAUACUCACAUAGUGAGGUGUUCUGUAUCCUGUGGGAGGGGAUAUAAAGAAGGAGCCCUGGCUUUGGAUUUUGCCAAUAAUAGAAAUGUACAAAUAGAGAGACACUCCUUUGAAAUAUAUAGCUCUCUAAUACACUACUGAGGCCCCAUUCUUGUAUAAAGCAGCCACUGCAGUGACUUCAAAUGGACUGAACUCAAUAUAUCACUUUUAUCUUUCACAGUAAGGUACAGAUGCUACUAUGCUCAUCACUAUCACUACUAUUUCUACUACCGUCAUGGGUACCGCUGCGCUCGCUACUGGCGUACCUACCGCUGCAGGCGAUGCCAGCACUACUGAAAAGCAGCAGCGCCCAGGGAUCACAGUGCUGGAGUUUACCUGACAGCAGACCUGCAAGCAAAGCUUAAACACACCAGCAACCUUCUUUUGUAGCAUGGCUGUAUCCUUUCUGUUGUGGUCCCUCUACCCACACACAGCUACAGACCCAUACUUAUUUCUAUCAGGCCAUUCCCAGUUUGUUUAAAACAGCUGCUCCCUGUUGUGCAUUUGGUCAAUCUCUUCAAGGAUAUAUAAUAGAGAAAACAUUGUUUUUCUAUUGGGUGAUUCCCUGCCUCUCAUGAAGCAGCUCUUUACAUUGUAUGGAAAGGUGUCCUUAUUUAACAUGUAGUCUCAGAUUCUCAGUGAGAUCACAUGCUCACACAUGUUUGAAUAGAAACACAGCUGCACAUGGGCACAUAUACAAAGCGUUACUUGGAGAGCGUGCUUGAUUGAUUUGCCCCAGCUCAUAAUCACUGCACCGAGUCAGGUUUGACCAGUAGAC